Molecule: ribosomal RNA, 1484 nt
Filed under: uncultured Bordetella sp.
Lineage: Bacteria; Pseudomonadati; Pseudomonadota; Betaproteobacteria; Burkholderiales; Alcaligenaceae
Description: partial 16S-23S ribosomal RNA intergenic spacer
Rfam family: Bacterial small subunit ribosomal RNA
Source: RNAcentral
GAGUUCGAUUAUGGCUCAGAUUGAACGCUGGCGGGAUGCUUUUACAUGCAAGUCGAACGGCAGUACGGACUUCGGUCUGGUGGCGAGUGGCGAACGGGUGAGUAAUGUAUCGGAACGUGCCUAGUAGCGGGGGAUAACUACGCGAAAGGUAGCUAAUACCGCAUACGCCCUUCGGGGGAAAGCGGGGGACCUUCGGGCCUCGCACUAUUAGAGCGGCCGAUAUCGGAUUAGCGACAGGGGUAACGGCUCACCAAGGCGACGAUCCGUAGCUGGUUUGAGAGGACGACCAGCCACUGGGACCGGGGACACGGCCCAGACUCCUAGCCGGAGGCAGCAGUGGGGAAUUUUGGACAAUGGGGAAACCCUGAUCCAGCCAUCCCGCGUGUGCGAUGGAAGGGCCUUCGGGUUGUAAAGCACUUUUGGCAGGAAAGAAACGGCAUCGGGAUAAUACCCCUGUGUGCAACUGAUUUAAAAACGGUGAAUAAGCACCGGCUAACUACGUGCCAGCAGCUGCAGGCCGUAGGGUGCAAGCGUUAAUCGGAAUUACUGGGCGCAAGCGUGCGCAGGCGGCUCUGGAAAGAAAGACGGUGAAAUCCCAGAGCUUAACUUGGAACUGCAUUUUUAACUAACACGAGCCAGAGUGUGUCAGAGGGAGGUGGAAUUCGCGUAGCAGUGAAAUGCGCAGAUAUGCGGAGGGAACACCGAUGGCGAAGACAGCCCCUUGGGAUAACACCGACGCUCAUGCACGAAAGCGUGGGGAGCAAACAGGAUUAGAUAAUUCUGUAGUGUCCACGCCCUCUAAACGAUGUCAACUAGCUGUUGGGGCCUCGGGCUCCAGCGCAGCUAACGCGUGAAGUUGACCGCCUGGGGAGUACGGUCGCAAGAUUAAAACUCAAAGGAAUUGACGGGACCCCGCAAGCGGUGGAUGAUGUGGAUUGUCUGGAUGCAACGCGAAAACCCACGUACCUUUGAUAUGUCUGGAAUCCCGAAGAGAUUUGGGAGUGCUCGCAAGAGAACCGGAACACAGGUGCUGCAUGGCUGUCGUCAGCUCGUGUCGUGAGAUGUUGGGUUAAGUCCCGCAACGAGCGCAAACUCCUUGUCAUUAGUUGCUACGAAAGGGCACUCUAUCGAGACUGCCGGUGACAACCGGAGGAAGGUGGGGAUGACGUCAAGUCCUCAUGGCCCUGCGGGUAGGGCUCCACACGUCAUACAAUGGUCGGGACAGAGGGUCGCCAACCUGCUAUGAGGGGAGCCAAUCCCAGAAACCCGAUCGUAGUCCGAUCGCAGUCUGCAACCUCGACUGCGUGAAGUCGGAAUCGCUAGUAAUCGCGGAUCAGCAUGUCGCGGUGAAUACGUUCCCGGGCUUUGUACACACUCGCCCGUCACACCAUGGGAGUGGGUUUUACCAGAAGUAGUUAGCCUAACCGUAAGGAGGGCGAUUACCACGGUAGGAUUCAUGACUGGGUGAAGUCGUAACAAGGUAG